RNAcentral lists this ribosomal RNA (797 nucleotides) under uncultured archaeon. RNAcentral describes it as "bacterial SSU rRNA". It matches the Rfam family "Archaeal small subunit ribosomal RNA", at positions 53 to 838 of the family's 1478-position model. The record is from RNAcentral.
GCGAGUUGAUGGGAUACCUAAAGUUCCCAUAGCAAACUGCUCAGUAACACACGAUCAACUUACCCUAUAGAGAAAAAUAACCUCGGGAAACUGAGGAUAAUGUUUCAUAAUUGAAUUGGCUUGGAAAAGUUUUUCAAUGAAAAGGAUAAAAAAAAUGGUUUUUAUCUGCUAUAGGAUAGGAUCGUGUUCGAUUAUGGUAGUUGGUGAGAUAAUGGCUCACCAAGCCGAUAAUCGAUAGGGGCCGUGAGAGCGGGAGCCCCGAGAUGGGUACUGAGACAACGACCCAGGCCUUACGAGGCGCAGCAGGCGCGGAACCUCCGCAAUACACGAAAGUGUGACGGGGUUACCCAAAGUGUUCAAUAGAACUGUGGUAGGUGAGUAAUGUCCCCUACUAGAAAGGAGAGGGCAAGGCUGGUGCCAGCCGCCGCGGUAAAACCAGCUCUUCAAGUGGGCGGGAUAAUUAUUGGGCUUAAAGUGUCCGUAGCCGGUUUAGUAAGUUCCUGGUAAAAUCGGGUAGCUUAACUAUCUGCAUGCUAGGAAUACUGCAAUACUAGAGGGCGGGAGAGGUCUGAGGUACUACAGGGGUAGGGGUGAAAUCUUAUAAUCCUUGUAGGACCACCAGUGGCGAAGGCGUCAGACUGGAACGCGCCUGACGGUGAGGGACGAAAGCCAGGGGAGCGAACCGGAUUAGAUACCCGGGUAGUCCUGGCCGUAAACGAUGCAUACUAGGUGAUGGUACGGCCAUGAGCCGUAUCAGUGCCGUAGGGAAACCGUUAAGUGUGCCGCCUGGGAAGUAC